This 578-nucleotide ribosomal RNA is filed under the name uncultured bacterium. RNAcentral's name for it is "partial 16S ribosomal RNA". It matches the Rfam family "Bacterial small subunit ribosomal RNA", at positions 355 to 932 of the family's 1533-position model. The record is from RNAcentral.
UGGGGAAUUUUGGACAAUGGGCGAAAGCCUGAUCCAGCAAUGCCGCGUGUGUGAAGAAGGCCUUCGGGUUGUAAAGCACUUUUGUCCGGAAAGAAAUCCUUGGCUCUAAUACAGUCGGGGGAUGACGGUACCGGAAGAAUAAGCACCGGCUAACUACGUGCCAGCAGCCGCGGUAAUACGUAGGGUGCAAGCGUUAAUCGGAAUUACUGGGCGUAAAGCGUGCGCAGGCGGUUUGCUAAGACCGAUGUGAAAUCCCCGGGCUCAACCUGGAACUGCAUUGGUGACUGGCAGGCUAGAGUAUGGCAGAGGGGGGUAGAAUUCCACGUGUAGCAGUGAAAUGCGUAGAGAUGUGGAGGAAUACCGAUGGCGAAGGCAGCCCCCUGGGCCAAUACUGACGCUCAUGCACGAAAGCGUGGGGAGCAAACAGGAUUAGAUACCCUGGUAGUCCACGCCCUAAACGAUGUCAACUAGUUGUUGGGGAUUCAUUUCCUUAGUAACGUAGCUAACGCGUGAAGUUGACCGCCUGGGGAGUACGGUCGCAAGAUUAAAACUCAAAUGAAUUGACGGGGUCAUAGCUG